This 515-nucleotide ribosomal RNA is filed under the name uncultured Flavobacterium sp. RNAcentral's name for it is "bacterial SSU rRNA". It matches the Rfam family "Bacterial small subunit ribosomal RNA", at positions 9 to 524 of the family's 1533-position model. Lineage: Bacteria; Pseudomonadati; Bacteroidota; Flavobacteriia; Flavobacteriales; Flavobacteriaceae. The record is from RNAcentral.
GAGUUUGAUCGUGGCUCAGGAUGAACGCUAGCGGCAGGCUUAACACAUGCAAGUCGAGGGGUAUAGGUUUUCGGACCUAGAGACCGGCGCACGGGUGCGUAACGCGUAUGCAAUCUACCUUUUACAGAGGGAUAGCCCAGAGAAAUUUGGAUUAAUACCUCAUAGUAUUAUUGAGUGGCAUCAUUUAAUAAUUAAAGUUCCAACGGUAAAAGAUGAGCAUGCGUCCCAUUAGCUAGAUGGUAAGGUAACGGCUUACCAUGGCGACGAUGGGUAGGGGUCCUGAGAGGGAGAUCCCCCCACACUGGUACUGAGACACGGACCAGACUCCUACGGGAGGCAGCAGUGAGGAAUAUUGGUCAAUGGGCGCAAGCCUGAACCAGCCAUGCCGCGUGCAGGAUGACGGUCCUAUGGAUUGUAAACUGCUUUUUGACAGGAAGAAACACUCCUACGUGUAGGAGCUUGACGGUACUGUAAGAAUAAGGAUCGGCUAACUCCGUGCCAGCCGCCGCCGUAAC